CCGAUGAGGUGGAAACGGACAGAGCUGGCGUAUCUGGCCUGCAUUCAGCCGCUGCGCGUCGGGCCCCGGUUUGCCGCACUCCAGAUUGGGAAGGUGGCUGGGCUGCUGGCGUGCUUGUGGUGCAUUUGCAGGUGGAGUGCGCUGAGGCGCUCGGCUCAGCGGCAUGAGCUCGGCCUUGAGGCCAACCGUGCAAGUGGUCUGGUACCCGGGUCGGGGGAGUGUUGUUUGGGCUGAGUGUUCGCUUGGGCACUGGUUUCGGGCCCGGGUGGGUGCCGAGCUGGCGGUCGACGUCGGUCGCAUGCGACACGUGUCAGCAAUCAGUUCGGUCCUGCUCGAGCUCUCGCGUGUCCGGCCUCGGUGUAAAAGCCGGUCAUCUGUCCGACCCGUCUUGAAACACGGACCAAGGAGUUUAGCGUGUGCGCGAGUCAUUGGGCGUUGAAAACCCAAAGGCGCAAUGAAAGUGAAGGUCUGCCUUGUGCAGCUGAUGUGUGAUCCUGGGUGCUGCGGUGCCCGGGCGCAACAUAGUCCCGUCCCGACUGCAUGCAGUGGGGCGGAGACAGAGCGUACGCGCUGAG
This 575-nucleotide ribosomal RNA is filed under the name Helicotylenchus pseudorobustus. RNAcentral describes it as "eukaryotic LSU rRNA". It matches the Rfam family "Eukaryotic large subunit ribosomal RNA", at positions 405 to 813 of the family's 3401-position model. The record is from RNAcentral. Lineage: Eukaryota; Metazoa; Nematoda; Chromadorea; Rhabditida; Hoplolaimidae.